This 85-nucleotide transfer RNA is filed under the name Clostridiaceae bacterium. RNAcentral's name for it is "tRNA-Tyr". It matches the Rfam family "tRNA". Rfam says of the family: Transfer RNA (tRNA) molecules are approximately 80 nucleotides in length. Their secondary structure includes four short double-helical elements and three loops (D, anti-codon, and T loops). Further hydrogen bonds mediate the characteristic L-shaped molecular structure. tRNAs have two regions of fundamental functional importance: the anti-codon, which is responsible for specific mRNA codon recognition, and the 3' end, to which the tRNAs corresponding amino acid is attached (by aminoacyl-tRNA synthetases). tRNAs cope with the degeneracy of the genetic code in two manners: having more than one tRNA (with a specific anti-codon) for a particular amino acid; and 'wobble' base-pairing, i.e. permitting non-standard base-pairing at the 3rd anti-codon position. The record is from RNAcentral. Lineage: Bacteria; Bacillati; Bacillota; Clostridia; Eubacteriales; Clostridiaceae.
GGAUUGGUUCCCGAGUGGCUAAAGGGGGCAGACUGUAAAUCUGUUGGCUCAGCCUUCGGUGGUUCGAAUCCACCCCAAUCCACCA